This 74-nucleotide transfer RNA is filed under the name Bacillota bacterium. RNAcentral's name for it is "tRNA-Val". It matches the Rfam family "tRNA". Rfam says of the family: Transfer RNA (tRNA) molecules are approximately 80 nucleotides in length. Their secondary structure includes four short double-helical elements and three loops (D, anti-codon, and T loops). RNAcentral also lists the same sequence under 1 other name. The record is from RNAcentral. Lineage: Bacteria; Bacillati; Bacillota.
GGAAGCGUAGCUCAGUUGGUUAGAGUGCAUGGUUGACAUCCAUGAGGUCACUGGUUCGACUCCAGCCGUUUCCA